AGUGAACGCUGGCGGUAGGCCUAACACAUGCAAGUCGAACGGCAGCACAGUAAGAGCUUGCUCUUACGGGUGGCGAGUGGCGGACGGGUGAGGAAUACAUCGGAAUCUACUUUUUCGUGGGGGAUAACGUAGGGAAACUUACGCUAAUACCGCAUACGACCUACGGGUGAAAGCAGGGGAUCUUCGGACCUUGCGCGAUUGAAUGAGCCGAUGUCGGAUUAGCUAGUUGGCGGGGUAAAGGCCCACCAAGGCGACGAUCCGUAGCUGGUCUGAGAGGAUGAUCAGCCACACUGGAACUGAGACACGGUCCAGACUCCGACGGGAGGCAGCAGCGGGGAAUAUUGGACAAUGGGCGCAAGCCUGAUCCAGCCAUACCGCGUGGGUGAAGAAGGCCUUCGGGUUGUAAAGCCCUUUUGUUGGGAAAGAAAAGCAGCAGGUUAAUACCCCGCUGUUCUGACGGUACCCAAAGAAUAAGCACCGGCUAACUUCGUG
Molecule: ribosomal RNA, 492 nt
Filed under: uncultured bacterium
Lineage: Bacteria
Description: partial 16S ribosomal RNA
Rfam family: Bacterial small subunit ribosomal RNA
Source: RNAcentral